GAACGGGCGCCAGUGCAAUCGAAUAAACUAUCACCCCAAACUAAUAUAAUAUUUUUGAGAAAAUUCGAAAGAUACACCGUCAUGAUGUGUUCUUUUGAACGCGAACAUACUACGAACAUGCUACGAAACGACAAAUGAAAAUAAUUAAGAGAUAUUUAAUAAGUAUACAAAAUACACGCCAGCGGGUCAGGACGACGGUUUGCGCGCGCGUGUGCUGUAACAAUCAAACAUUACGCUCGGGGCGAAACUUCAAAAUGCGCCAUUAUGUAUUUUUAAUUACAAAAGAAUUGCGUCUAGGGCGUAGGCUCCUCUCGCCACAUUCUUGCGACGGCCCUUCGUUUACCUGACGAUUGUGUUUGGUCGUCGUUCCGUCAUGCGGAUUUGUGCGUACGCGGUACGCUACUACAGGGUGAGCGCAAGUACACGCGCCCGAGGACCGUUGGUUCAGGCUCAAGAGGAGCGCCCCAGCAAACCGGCCUUACCCGACCAUUGCAUUGCGAUUGAAAUGAAUGGUGAGCGAGAAAAUCAACAUUUGUAAGUGUAACGAAUAAUGCGUAGCAAGAGGAACAUUUCGAUUGACGAAAUUUUUACGUUAUAUUUAUGAUAUAGUUGAUGAUACUUUAACGAACAAUAAACCUACUGUUCUGUUUAUCCGUCUAGGGACACCGUAUGUUGUACGCUGCUUGAGCACAUGCCUAAAUCUACAUCCCUCCAAAAUGCCUCGAUGGUGGUGCAGUAUAAAUGGUGAUUAUAUAUAGUUUUUGUUUUUAUUUUUUUCAGCUGCUGCAAAGGCAAUGGUCGCGUGUGUGCCGGACAAACAUUCUAUUGUUGUAGUUUAUAACACUGUACUCCGUUUCCAUCCGUCUUGAAACGACACUGUUUAUCUCGUUCGUAUAAAGUAUGAUUUCAAUAGAAGUUUUACAAUCGAAUGUCCUCUUAAAAAAAAAAAAAAAAAAAAACGUAAAUGACCGGAAUAUAUAAUAUACAUAGUGAGACAACAUUUAUUCUCCGUCACUAUUCGCCUACUUACGGUUGUCUAGACUUUAAUUGUUUACCUAUACACGAUUAUAAUACUACAUCACGCGUUCGAUAUUCCGUACAAAUGAAAAUUUGCA
Molecule: long non-coding RNA, 1115 nt
Organism: Sipha flava (yellow sugarcane aphid)
Lineage: Eukaryota; Metazoa; Arthropoda; Insecta; Hemiptera; Aphididae
Exons: 3
Source: RefSeq, a predicted model, not a curated record